AGAGUUUGAUCUGGCUCAGGAUGAACGCUAGCGGCAGGCCUAAUACAUGCAAGUCGAACGGGUGCAGCAAUGCAUUAGUGGCGCACGGGUGCGUAACACGUAAACCUCCUUCUACUGGGGGAUAACGAUGGGAAACCAUCGCUAAUACCGCAUAAGAUCAUGACCUGGCAUCGGGGUAGUGAUUAAAGAUUCAUUGGUAAAAGAUGGGCCUGCGGCUGAUUAGCUAGUUGGCGGUGUAACGGACCACCAAGGCUGUGAUCAGUAGGGGUUCUGAGAGGAAGAUCCCCCACACUGGCACUGAGAUACGGGCCAGACUCCUACGGGAGGCAGCAGUAGGGAAUAUUGGGCAAUGGCGGAAACGCUGACCCAGCCAUGCCGCGUGCAGGAAGAAGGCGCUCAGCGUUGUAAACUGCUUUUGCCGGGGAAGAAUGAGCUCUACGUGUAGAGUAAGUGACGGUACCUGGUGAAUAAGCACCGGCUAACUCCGUGCCAGCAGCCGCGGUAAUACGGAGGGUGCAAGCGUUGUCCGGAUUUAUUGGGUUUAAAGGGUGCGUAGGUGGCUUUUUUAAGUCUGGGGGUGAAAGGCAGUGGCUCAACCACUCGCAGUGCCCUGGAUACUGGAAGGCUCGAGUGCGCGUGAGGCCGGUGGAACGGGUGGUGUAGCGGUGAAAUGCAUAGAUACCAUCCAGAACACCGAUUGCGGAGGCAGCCGGCUAACGCGCAACUGACACUGAGGCACGAAAGCGUGGGGAGCAAACAGGAUUAGAUACCCUAGUAGUCC
RNAcentral lists this ribosomal RNA (781 nucleotides) under uncultured bacterium. Its description in RNAcentral is "bacterial SSU rRNA". It matches the Rfam family "Bacterial small subunit ribosomal RNA", at positions 8 to 796 of the family's 1533-position model. The record is from RNAcentral.